AUAAAGCGGCUGAGCGGUUGUUACAGAUAAGGCAGUUUUGUGUGCACUCUGCAUGCAGAAUAGACUUUACUAGCAACAGCAGAGAGAGUGAGCAGGAUAUGGUUGGGUGAGUGUCCAACGAGAGGGGAGCUGAAGCCUUUGGCAAGUGUACCAUGAAACCACUCAUCUACCUCCUCCUGCCUGUCCUCUGUCAUCUCUGCAGCGCCAAAUUCACACAGUCCUCUGACAAGGUGGCCAAAGAAGGAUCAGACUUGGAAUUACAAUGCCAACACAACAUUCCUGCUGGAAAUUAUGACUCUGUCUACUGGUACCUCCAGAAGACCAAUCAGAAACUCACUUAUGUCCAUCACGGAUUUCAAGACAUCACGGAAGCUGGGCAUUAUCAGAUAAAUGUGGAUAGGAAAAAGUGCUGCAGUAAAUUAAUCAUCAGGAAUGUGCAUCUAAGUGACGUGGCUGUAUAUUACUGUGCUUUACAAGGACACUGUGAUUCAUGCCACACACGACACCAAACAAAAACUGCAUGUUUCAAGUGUGAUGCGAAACAAAGAGAACCCAGUAACUAAGAGAAUAAACCAAUGUGACCCACAGGGGGCCUGUGUUCU
RNAcentral lists this long non-coding RNA (602 nucleotides) under Phascolarctos cinereus (koala). RNAcentral describes it as "lncRNA (ENSPCIG00000027790.2)". Lineage: Eukaryota; Metazoa; Chordata; Mammalia; Diprotodontia; Phascolarctidae. The record is from RNAcentral.